CAGAGUAAAAUCGUUGAGCCUCGAGCAUUCCAUCCUCCCUUCAACAUUAUUAGAGAUAUAUGAUUAGUGACUAUAUAAGUCAAGAGAUGCACAUUUUAUAACUGAUUUUCUCAUUUGAGCAUUAUCCAAAAUAAUAUUGAGUUUCUCUUUUCUCUCUUUUCAUCUCUAUACCAUAUAUUCUAACAUGGUAUCAGAGCAAUACCAUUUUUUUCUCAUUGCCACUAUCGAUCAACCUCCCUGUUCACCGCCAUCGUCGUCCUCUAUCAUGAGUCACCGAUUCUGACCAACACCUACCUUUGUUCAAACCUUGUUCAUCUUCUCCUCAUACUUCCCUUUUCAAUUUUCUAUUACAUUUUCCUAAAAAAAUUCAAUACGCAAAACCCUAACAUUUUCCCAUUCCUUUUCUGACCAAUUUGGAUCGCAAUUCAUGAAACAACCAUCACCAAUCGAUUUAUCUCUAUGUACGCAACAAAAC
This 475-nucleotide long non-coding RNA is filed under the name Glycine max (soybean). Its description in RNAcentral is "long non-coding RNA (GMAX_LNC001417)". Lineage: Eukaryota; Viridiplantae; Streptophyta; Magnoliopsida; Fabales; Fabaceae. The record is from RNAcentral.